UGCCCCUGUUCCUCAUGAAGUUUUGGUUUAGUUUUCAAAUCUUCCCUCCCUCGUCGCUCUACAGUUUACACUUUCAUACGCUCCAAUCAAUCCCCGGUACCUCUGGUAUCCAAGGAGCCAUCAAUCUUCGUCCACAAGGACCAGGCGACGGAGAUCCUCCAGAGUGCACACGCCGAACAAGAGAACUUUCCAGAAGCUUCACCCCGGGGCGACCCUCCCACCCACGUGCACCGCGCGAGCGCGCCGCCGCCAACGGUCUAGUCUGAUCAGGCUAUUCAACGGUCACAAGAAAUAUCAAUUUACAAAGAAAUUUACUGAGUGGUUCCCUCUGAGAUCCAUGCUCGGCAGUGACCAUCCAAAACUGAAGUCAGCGCUACAUAUGGGACAUCCGAGUGGCUGUGAGAGAAAGUGACAGCUUUUGGGGGUUUUAGACUUGAGUUGGAACAACUCCUGGAUCGGGAAUACUGGGCUGUGCUUCAGCCAGGUUAGGUCACCCUGCCUUACCUCUUAUAUAAGCAAAAU
Rhincodon typus (whale shark) is the source of this 522-nucleotide long non-coding RNA. RefSeq lists it as uncharacterized. The record is from RefSeq and is a predicted model, not a curated record. Lineage: Eukaryota; Metazoa; Chordata; Chondrichthyes; Orectolobiformes; Rhincodontidae. The transcript is spliced from 3 exons.